Chiloscyllium plagiosum (whitespotted bambooshark) is the source of this 1782-nucleotide non-coding RNA. The record is from RefSeq and is a predicted model, not a curated record. Lineage: Eukaryota; Metazoa; Chordata; Chondrichthyes; Orectolobiformes; Hemiscylliidae.
UAUUUCACCAGUGACAAUCAGCUCCUCCUGGGAGCUUAUUAAAAACUACAGCAAAUGUGUUCCUUUUUGUUCCAGUCAUCGGUCAACGUGACAAAUAUACUUGAUGGAUUUUGUUCAUAACUACAAGAAUGUGGAGGAGUUGAGAAAGACUCAUGUCCCUUUGGGAAUUCAAAAAUCUCAGGAUAACUGUACAUCAGUCCAGGAGCAAAACUCGACCUCUGCUCAUCAUCCCUACCCAUUCCCUGGAGAUAUUGAAGACCACAUGAAAAGGUGGUGCCAUACUUUAGCAAUGCCUCUGUAGAGAUUCUCCUGAAGUCCGCCAGGAGAGAAGGUUUGAGCUCAAUAUACUAUUUGUCAGCCUUCUCAGCUCUGUCUGUGGAAAUCCUUCAAUUAAUCUGAAACUACUACCCAGCUCCGAACACACAUUAACUCCUUUUGGUUUAUUGUUGUCAUUGUCAACAAGCUUCAACAAUUCUCUGUUUCCAAUCUAUUAAACUGAAAAUCCUUGCUUGAAUUUAUAAAGGCCACCCUACCUCUGCAGCCUCCUUCAGUCUCCAGCCCUUAGUGGUCUCCCAACUGUGGCCUUCUUUGUCCAUUUGUUUUAUAGCUGUUGAUUUUUAUGGUCAUUCUUAUAAACUUUUUCCAGCAUGGCUUCCCUGUCGAGAAAAGCAGACCAGAGAGAACACAGUUUCUAUUCUAUAUAAGGAAAAUGGAAACCACUCAGACUUACUAAGAUAAUAGGCAUAUUUGAGUGACACACAACAAAAUGUGUUUUCUGUAACCAGAAUGAUUUAUUCUAGCUGGCUAACAACAAGGGGUUUUCUUUCUUUCAGCAUGAGAGCACACAUUCUGCAACUCAUGCAAUGUGUUCCUCCAAAGCUGUGGGGAACUUAAUUGUAGUACAUGUAUCUUUCAAUCCCCUAGUGUUGCCAGCAUCUGAUAUUGUCAUGGUUGCCCACCUGAGCCAUCUGUAUAACCUGGAUUGAUUCACAUCCACCAACCAUUCUCACUGGUAUUAGCCUUAGCUACUGACACCAAGCGGGGAAGGAUGCCACAGUAAGUCUUCAGCAAAAGAUAGUUUCAAUCUUGAUAAAUAUUAAAUGUUUAUUGUGUAGUUAGCUACAUGACAUCUAAGGUACACAAUUAUCUCUUGUGAGACAUCAUGCUUGAUUUAAGAGUAAGUACAAAUUAUUUCUACUAAAACAGCCCAACAGAUACACUGGACACUGAUCCAAUAUUUGUUAGCUCCUCCCAGGGAUAGUCCUUUGCAUCCCAAUGGCAGGGCUAAACGGAUUGUGUCAGUUAACCCUUUCAGUUACUUAUUCAACAAUAGUCAUUUGAGCAGACUGAUGAUGCCUCUGUAGAGGUUAAUGAGAUUGUAAGAGUUAGAAUUUCUAUGCUAAUAGUAACAUUAAAAGAGAAGAAUUCUCCAGAUGAACCUUGAACACCAUAAUGGCCAAGAACAGUUCAGAAAGAUCUUGGGAACCAUAACGAAUGAAUUUGUUAGGUGACAAAGGAGGAAGAUAGAAUAAACAGAUAUGAGUUGAAGCAAGCAGUACCAGGGACUGCCAGGCUAGGGCAAAAAAGGAAUUGGGUGAAUUAAGAUAUGUAAUGAAGUCUACAUACCUAGACUAGAGACAUCUGUUUAUUGUAUGAUCAUAAGGUUGCAAUUUGAAUAAUGGAGUGUAAUUAAAGGUGUAUAUAAGUGAUGAAUUUCUUGUAUUCAGCAGAGGUCAUUCUUUGGACAAGAUUAUUGUCUCCCUGUUUUCAUAAUAAAUGAUU